UGGUCCCACCUGACCCCAUGCCGAACUCAGAAGUGAAACGCCGUAGCGCCGAUGGUAGUGUGGGGCCUCCCCAUGCGAGAGUAGGGAACUGCCAGGC
This 97-nucleotide ribosomal RNA is filed under the name Escherichia fergusonii. Lineage: Bacteria; Pseudomonadati; Pseudomonadota; Gammaproteobacteria; Enterobacterales; Enterobacteriaceae. RNAcentral also lists the same sequence under 6 other names. The record is from RNAcentral.